Molecule: non-coding RNA, 125 nt
Organism: Brassica napus (rape)
Lineage: Eukaryota; Viridiplantae; Streptophyta; Magnoliopsida; Brassicales; Brassicaceae
Source: Rfam
GGAAUAUAAAAAACCGUCUCUUAACUUUUAACUAAAAAAACUAAGAACCGGCUCUUAAAUAAGAGUUUUAAAAGAAAAUUUUUAGUUUUUUUAGUUAAAAGUUAAAAGACGGGUUCUUAUAUUCC